Molecule: long non-coding RNA, 10869 nt
Filed under: Lactuca sativa (garden lettuce)
Lineage: Eukaryota; Viridiplantae; Streptophyta; Magnoliopsida; Asterales; Asteraceae
Description: long non-coding RNA (LSAT_LNC004645)
Source: RNAcentral
CCACAUCAAAUUUGGAAUCGUGUUUCUCAAAUAGAGGUGUUUGAGCAUCUUGUUAUGAAAUAUAAAACCCCAAAAGAGUUCUUGAUUUCAUUUAAGCGAUAACUCGAGAUUUGCCAUCGUUUAACAGAAAAACCGAGUUUUGAAAGAUAAAUCGUUUACAGUUGUGUUCAAAACUCGAUUUUGGAAGAUGAAAUAGUUUGCAGUAGGGUUUUGAAGCUAGGGUUUUUGUGUGUUCAUGUUUAUCCUCAUCUGAGUUUAAUCAGGAACACAAAUAUGAAGGAGGAAAUCGUGGGUUCAUUUUUAUCUUCAUCAGCUUCGGUUUCAAGAACACAACUGCAAAAUCGAGGUUUGAAGAUAGGAUUUUUGUGUGCUCAUCAGCUCAUGUUUAUCUUCAUACAUGUUUGUUUUCUGCAUAUCUGAAGGAGGAAAUUGAUUUCAGGAGCACAAAUCUAAAGGAGGUAAUCGUGGGUUUAUCCAUGUUCAUCAUCUCCAUUAACGAACCUACAACACCUUGGAAUAACAUGACAACCAUCGGAAAUCAUCACCACUACUGCCAUCAAGAACUAUCACACCUACACCUUUAUCUUCAUUUACCAUCAUUCGAACACCCAUUUUAUUGUUGUCGGUUUGAAAUUCGUGGAAAAGGUCCAAGGGGACCUGCUUGAGAAAUUAGAGUAGCUGUUAUAUAGGGGCAGGGAGGAACAAACCAUGGUGCCAUUUGAUACCAUGGGAAUGGCCAGGAACAAUUACCAGAUCUAGAAUCAGAGAAAUGUCCAUAGCCCCUACCUCGUCCUCGUUGAGUACCUUGACCCUGGUGAUUUCUGCGGUAGUUACCCCGACCUCAUGAAGUAUUUCCGGUAUUAUUGUUAUCCGACGAAGGAGAGAUGUUGUCAGAGGAAGAGUCAGUCAUCUUCAGAUUGAUCAUGGCUUGCGGUGUAGGGGUGGCAUGCUUGUUGCGUCGCUUUUCUUCUAGGACAUGUUGGGAACAUGAUUUAUUGAAACUUACAAGUGGUUCGGUUUUUUGUAUCAUAGUUGCAACAGUAUCAUAAGCACCCAGUGUGAGACGAGAAAUCAUUUAAAGGAUCAUUUUAGUUUCUGAAUUAGGAUUACCUAUGUUGGCAAGUUGAUCAGACAAGUUUUUGAAACGAGAGUAAUAGUCAUGAACAUUGGAGAAGGAUUCAAGUAGACUAGAAUUAAAUGGUUCUUCGAUGUAGACAGUGCAUGUGGCUCGAUUGUCUUGGUAGAUCUCCUGGAGUCAGUUCCAUAAAUUUUGAGCGGAUGCACCCAGUUUCAUGUUUGAUUACCAACGAUUAUAAGAGAUAGUGACAUAAAUCCACUAUUUGACAAUGGCGUCUAAGCGAAGCCAAGUGGAGUCAUCAAUAUAUUUGGGGUGUGGAACAUCGGGGUUUAUGUGAUUUGAACAUUAUAUGUGCAAACAUGAAUAUUCAAAAGUUCCAUCAAUAAGGCAUAGUGAUCGUCAGUUCAUUCAAGGAUAACAGGAAUGGUGUUCCUGAUGUUGUUGACAUUGAAUGCUGGGUGAAAAGGUGUUUUGGAGACUGAGGAAGAAGAAUCAUCAAUUGCAGGUAUUCCCGACAUAGCGGAAGAAGAUGAUGAGAACAGAGGAUGUAAAUGGCAGUAGAAUAGGCGUUGUAUGGGAUAAGAAAAAUAGGGUUUUUAGGUAUACAACUCUGAUACCAUAAUACAAAACGUAUUUCCCUUUCUUUUCCAUUAAAUCCAAUUGAGUAUAAAUACAAUGAAUUGGUAUCUCUCUAUUCUAGGAAGAGAUCACAACCAAAUAUAAAAUACAAUAUAAAAUGCAAUAUACAUAUAUUUGUUAAUACAUAUACCCAAGUGUCCUUUUCACUGUUCUACUAACAUGAUCCACUGCUUUAUCUUUCGACCCUGACUUUAACAAACCCAAAUCUGCCACUUUCGUCACAAUAUUCUCAUCGAUCAAAAUAUUAGUUGAUUUCACCUCGCGAUUGAUGGGUUUUAUGCAAAACAAACAAAACUUAAACUCUUAAGUGUGCAUGAAACCCUAAUAAAGAUCUAUGUUUUCUCUAUUAAAUGUAUAACUAUGAACACCAAAAGGAAACCCUAAGAACACUAGGCUAUUUUCGAAAAUUCCAAAUUAGGGUUAAGGAUUACAUACCUUCAUUGUUAUUGUACCAAUUAACAAUGAACACCUUCUUGUUGAUCUCUUCGAAUCAAGCACCACAAUUGUCGUGCCUGUAAUGGAAUCACACCAAAGCUAGCAAGAGGAUGAAUAUAGAGAGAGGAGAAGGGAUAGCCAAAUUAAUCUAAGGCUUCUUGAGGGAAAGAUUGCACAAAAAUGUGAAGGGUUAGGUCCUUUAUGUAGCUCGCACGGUUUGCACCUCUGUCUAGAUAAUGCAACCCUUUCGCUGCACCAAUGCAAAUUUCUAAAUGUUGUUUCCAUGGUAAAUUAGGGUUGUUUCCUUUGUAUAAAUGAUCAUGUAAUGUCCCAUGAGACAUGUAAUCAUACACAAGUACCAUUUCACCCUCUUCAUCGCAGUAUCUGAUUAAAGACACAAGUUGGACAUGCCGUAAUAUUGAAAGCAAUCCGGUUUCGUUAGGAAUUUAUGAAAACCUUGUUUCGAUAACAUGUUUAGUCAUUUAAUUGCAACAAUUGUUGUAUCAUUGUCGACGUGCCCUAUGUACACCAUACCAAACCCUCUUCUCCAGAUUACAUGAGUUUCUUCGAAUUCUCUGGUGAAUUGUAAACCGGUGACACCUAUCAGACGGGAUGCCGAAAUCUUUAGAUUUUUUCUCAUCGGAUGACUUGUCGCCAGAGCGUUUCACUCGUCGGAAAAUGUUGAAACCUAAAAUCAACAACAUAAGUCCUAACGCUCUGCCAAUGGCACUAAUUUUGGCUACGUAUGGUGGAGUUCUCUUUUCUCCGGAAGGCGAUGGUUGUGGUGGAGAUGGUGAUGUAGGGUGGAGCUUUGGGUUGGGGCCAGCAAGACUACCAUUCUUCCUAAGCUUGAAAACUUCCAAACCAUCACUAUAUUGUGAUCGGGCAUCAAGCUUAGGAUCCAUCGCAAGCCAUAGGUCUUGUUUUCUUCCCCUACCAUCAAAAUCAUACACAAAUACGUAGCGGUGAGCAAACACCGAAGAGACUAAAAAUAAAUCGACAAAACCGCAACAAACUGUAACCAACAAACUGAAACUGAUGCAAAAACCAAUGGUGCGAAUUUUAUUUUUGGAAAACCGAUGGUCUACGGGUCGGUGCAGUUUUUACCAAAAUACCGGUCCAUCAAAACUGAACCGCACCGAAGACUUAUAAAAUAAUAAAUCACUAAUUUAUAUUUAUAUUCUAUAUAAUAUAUACAUAUUUUUUAAAUUAGUAAGAAAUAUUAAUACAUAUUAUAUUUGGACUUUGGACUUUGAUAGUUGGUUUUAGAGUAGGUCACUAAUUAACUAUGUGUUAUAAGGUUAUAACAAGUAAACCAAAAUUCAAUUAUUUUUUUCUUAGUCAACCGUUGUAUACAAAGUCACGUAGAACUUUUCAUUUAUAUAAUUUAUUUUGAACUGAAAAUAAACUUUUACAAAUAAACGGUUUCAAAAAGUGAAAAAAAUGCACCUUACAAGCUUGCAUGCACAUUGUUAUCGUGUUUUUUUUUUAAAUACACCAAAAAACAUGAAAACACCACACCAAAUUUUAGAAGCGUUUUAAAACCGAAACCGUAUCGAUAUAAACCGAAAUCAAAUUUAGAAACCGCAAAACCGAACCAUUGGAAAACCACACCCAACAGUUUUAAGAAUGCAAAAACCACACCUUGCAGUUUGUGGUUCUGUUUGCCAUUGAAACCGCACCGUGUUCACACCUACGAAUACGACAUAAUCCCUAAAAACAGGAAACCCGAUACCUUUAGUCUAGUAAAAUAGAUCAACCAGGGUCGGUCCAUUGGUUUUUCAUGCCAUGAGCAAGAUUAAUUAAGAAUGCCCAUAUAUGUGUAUUCAAGAAGCACAUACUAUAUAAUAUUAUUAAACAUAUUUAUUUAUUAUUUUCUUAUCAAUAACAACUACAACUAUGUUUUCUUGAAAACAUUAAACAAUUUUAUUGUUCUGGACAACGUGAUUCACGAUUUCUAUUUUGCUAAAUUGCUAACCAUUAAUUUCAUCAUAUCGAAUCUCAUUACUCAUUAGAACUGGAACUUUCAUGAGGUAUGAUACAUGACCAUAACUUGCAAUUGAACACAACAAAAAACAUUGUUAAUACAAAAAAUCUAUAAGAUUAAGUGCUACCAUAAGUAACAUAUCUCAUAUGCUAAUUACACCAUAAAAACUAGUCUAGCAAUACUCAAAUCUCAUAAAUCAAGAUCCAUUAUCUCUGUUCAAUCCAAUUUUCCUUUUCUAGUGUGUAAUUAACUGUUUAUACUUCUUUUUUCCAAAAUCAUAGAAACCUUGAAUAAUUUGAAGCAACUACUCUUAAAAUCAAGACAAAUACUAAUAUUGAAAGAACAAUAAUUCAAAUGGUGAAAUAUAACUCAAAAAGGUGAUGUAUCUGCAUCAUGGGGUGACCAACUUUUUUAUGAUGGUUUUAAAAUGCAUGUUACAAAUUUGCCACACCAUAUCACAAUUUCCAUCUACAAUGAUAUAUAGCUUUCUCAUCAAAUGUUGAGGAGUAUACAUGAAAAGAAAAUAGUUUUAUCAAAAAGUUGAAUGAUGAACACAACUCAAAAAAUAACUAAAAAUUAAAAUAGAAAUUUUAUUGAAGCUAGUCUAACACAAAAUCAAUAAUCCACGGAAAAAAACUGCAUUAACAACAAAUAGAGUACAAAAGCAACAAUUGAGAAUCAAUAUUUAACAUCAGUAUUUACAAAUAUGUAAAUUAAAAGCAACAAUUGAAAUACCCCAAUGCCUCUGUGGUCCUCAUCCUUGCGUUAUCAGAGAUACAAAUAACUUAAUCUCAAAUUGGAAACCAAAUAUGGGGUAUUUACACUUUCAUGAAGCUAAUCACUAAACAAAAUCAGAAAUCAUGAAACCAUAUCUGAAUCAGAAUUUACAAAGACUCAAAAAAUUAAGUAAGCACACAUCAUAAAAUUUUAGAACCGGAAAUGGGAAACCAAAGUCUUUGAUCUUGGGUUGGAUGUUUGACCGGCGUAUUUCAUGUUUUUUGAUUUAUAAUAUAAAUUUUCGGGUAGUGAAACGAUUUCGAUACCGUUAAUAAAGGCGUAGGAGUUGGGAGAUGGGGUAAAAGUGAAAUUUAAUGAUUGAGUAUUGUUAAAUGGUGGUUGAUAGAUUUACUUGUUUGUUUAGUGACGUCCUCUGAUCUUGUUAUUGCUCUUUUAUAAAUUACAAAAGUAGGUAGGGUAUACAGAUAAAAACAAUUGUUUGCAAGACUAUGAAAACUCUUGGUCAUCGCCUUUUGCCUUAAGCCAGUGGGAACCAUUUUACACUAUGGAAUGUGUAAUUAAAGAGCCACUCGAAAUAACUCAUAUUGUUCAGCAUUUUAUAGACCAUAAAUGGACUAGUCACUUUAUUCACCACCAAUUUACCAUUAUGUUGCUAUUAUGUUGCUAUGGGAUACCCAACUCAAUUCUAAUUUCAUCAUGACUCUGAAUUCCAACUCUAAUACCAUCCUGUUAACAAAUUCUAAUUCAAAUCCCAACCCACAACCAUUUUCAAUCGCAAACUGAAUUUAAUUAACCUUUUUCAAAAUGUUCAAGAAAGCCAACUCAAAUCCCAGCUCGAGUCUCAUUCGAGCGCGGGCCUAAACAUGAGCCCUUCUAAUGCGAAGAGACAAAGCGAAAAGAGAAGCUAAAAGUGUUGGGUCAAAUUUCAACGAUAUACACGGUUUGAGGGAGGAGAUAGUAGUGACAAAUAAAAAAAUUCUAAGAUUACUCAAGGAACAAGAGGUCAACAACUUAAAAUCCUGUAAUAUGAAACUUCUACAUGGAAGACCUGUCUUGGUUUUGGUGGUGAAAGCUGACUCGCUACAAAAAGUAAAUACAUGUUAUAGCUUUGGCAGUGAAAACUCAAAUAAUAAAAAAUAUAUAAUUUGCAAAUUUCAUCUUUCUUUUCUACUAAUAAGUUCACUAUUAGAAAACAACAAAUAGAAUACACUUAAAUAAAAUACGGUUGUAUAGAAAACCUUAUUAUAUAAACAAUAAAUACAGCUCAUUUACUCAUUAAUAGUAGCAUUUUAUUAUCGUUUACUCUAUUAAUAGCAUUUUAUUAUCAGGGGUUAGAAUUGGUGUGGUGUUUUCAAUAUCAAUUUUGUUCUUGCUACAGUUAGGUGGGAAUUAAGUUAACCCGCUAUUUUCAAUUGUUUUCAUCUUCCUAAUUUCUAGUCAUCCGCUGCUAUUUCCAUAUCGUCUUCCCAAAACAUUAAUGCGAGCUACUCAUGAAAACUAAUUACUCUAUCGUUUUCCUAAAGCCGUGAUUUGCAUAGAUCCUGACGACAACACUAACUUCAUGCCUUCAAACGACUCGAGUUUCUCUGUUUUGUCACUUCUCUAAUUUGUUAUUACAUUCAUGCUUGAAAUGGUAACAUUGACCUGUUGAUCAACACUUCACUCAUAUUCAUAACACAUUCUUAUUAGUGAGUCGAUACAGAGAAAUCUUUGAAUUAUUUGUAAGAUCGAACAAAGAUCAGGUUAAACUUGAACUUAUGCAUUUAUUAACCUAAUGUUUCAACAUAUGCAUGAGCCGAUUGUAACCGAUGAUCCUUUAUAUUCCUUAGUUAGUAGUUGGUAAUGAGGGACGAUAUAUUUGGAUCAACAAAGUUCUAGGGAAUGAGCACUAUUUUAUCAUCUAUGUCGACUAAUCUAUGGAUUUGAGACUUCAGAAUUUAAUUAUCACAUAUGUGGUCAUUUGAAAGUAUUCUAUUUUAUGCACAUUUCUUGUAUUUUUAUGCGUGUAUAUUCAUCAUAAACUUAUCUUGGAAAAUGCUACUUAGAGAAUUCUAACUUUCUGGAACUAGCAUGAUAGUAUUAGACUAUUAGUAAUACAUUUACAAAUCAAGUUUAGUUUUCUUAAUUAUUCAAUCGUCCUCGAGAUGGUAACUACUCCUGUCUAACAUACAAGUGUUACAUAAUGAUUUCACUUAUCCACUUUCUCCAACUGUGUGUACUUUCUCAUAUUUAUGAAUAUAAAAUCCAAAUUUAUAGGCUUAUGCCAGAAAAAGUUAAACCAAACAUUAAACAUUAAAUUUCACCAAGAGAAGAUUGAGAAUGCGAUUGGUUUCCACUUUCGAUGCAUAUUUACUUUUCUAUUUGAGGUUCUUGACUGUUUGAUUGAAUUCAAAUUUUAUAUUGAUUAUGUUGUACCAUUUGCCGGUGUGAGAAACCAAUUAAUUCACUUUAAAUAUUCACUGGAGAUUUGGAUUCGCUCCCUCCUUUUCAUCUGAGUUCAAAAGCAAAACUUUAUCCCUUGACCCAAAUCAAACAACGUUGAAGUAAGAUGUGAUUCAUUUUCUUAUUGUUCCGGUAAUUAUCUUUCUUCUUAUUGGUUCAAUCAGAUAUUGAAGCGUGUAUAUACGUUUGAUAAAUUGAGUAAUUACUCUUGUUAAAUACUAGUAUCAUCUACAAGGCACAAUUCAAACUAUUGUGAGUUUUUCCUUCAAGACAAUGCCAUUAGAUUGACUAGAAACAUAGUAAUAAAGUAGAUGAUGAACUUCAUGUGAUUGUGGGAUUUUUGUUCUUCUUUGUUUAUUAUAGAAUCCUACUCUCUUAUCUUGUUUCUAUAACAUUGUACAUUGAACCAUCUACUUGGUUAUAGCAUUGUACUUCCAAUUUUCUUCUUAUCAAGACAUUGUACUUUGAAAUAUGUAAUCCAAUUAUUGCUUUGAAAAUGCAAUGAGUGGAUAAAGUUUUCAAAUACAAUGUUUUAAUACGAAAAUGAAAGUACGUAGGGUGCUAAUAACAAACAAAAAAAUGGUACUACGUUUCUAUUUAUUGCAUUUGAUCCUUUAUUAUAUGUACUAGUUAUUGCAUACUCUAGUAGAUAUCAUUUUUAGAUUAGUGUCGUAGUAGUGGUACUCUAUUAGACAAUGUAAUCUAAUACAUCACUCUAUUAAUUAAUAAGUUCCAACCUUUGUACUAUAUUUGUAGUUUCAAGCGUAUUAGAUUAUUAGAUUAGACUUUUUCUAGUAGUGAAAUUUAAUACUACUAUAUUUUAUUAUGAGUUUUAUAUAAUAUUUCAAGAAUAAAUUAAUAGAAUUUCUAUGUUUUUAUUUGUAGGUAUGCCUCGUGCAACUCAAGCUUUUACUUUUUUCUUAACGAUUUCUAAAGAUAUGUUUUUCUCAAUUUGAAAAAAAUAUUAACACUACAAGAAAUAUACUUUUUAGCGGCGACACUAUUACCGGCGACAAGAGGCUUUACCGGCGACUUUAGAUAAAGUCGCCGGUAAUAGUGCGGCCGCUAAAGGGUUGUCACCCGAAUCCGCACUUUCCCCCUCUGUUGCAUCUCAACCGUUCGAUGAGAUAUCCAAUCCAACGGGUGGGGUGUCUUAUCCUGUCUAACCUAAUACCGGCGACACAGAUGUCGCCGCUAAAGGUUAAAAAAAGUCGUCGCUAAUAGUUCACUGAAAAUGACGUAGUACCCUUCCCUCCAGUUUGUUGCCGGUAAAGGGUCUGGUGUCGCCGCUAUUGCCUCUCGCAGAUAAAAAAAAAACGCACGCAGAACCCUCCUUUCUUCAUUUUCCUUUCUGUUUGCUUCCAAUUUCCUUCACCAUUUCGCCGAUUUCCUCUUUAAUUUGCUUCUUCCAAGCAAAUUCCUCCCCACAUUGUUCCAAGCAAGUAUCUUUAGGUGUGGUUAAAGCCUUUGGGACCAAUUUCUACCUCCAUUUCUUGAAGAAAGGUAAGUUUAUUUGGAGAUUUCAUUUUUAUUUUGUAUGUUAAUUUCGAUUUGUAGCUUUAUCUAGUGAUUGAAUGAUAAUAAAUUGUUCAUAUUCUUGUUUUUGGUGGUGUUGUUUUGGAUUAAAAGCAAGUUAUUUAAUUUUUUGUUUGUGGUUAUUGAAUUGCAAUUAGUUGUAUAGCUUCCAGUUGUAGUUUAGCCUUUAGGGACAUUUGAUGAUUAUUAAAAGUUGAUUUUGAUGACUAAAUUGCAAUACAUUGUUCAAUUUCAGUGAUUUUGGUGGUGUUGUUCAGUUUUUCUGGUGAGGGUAAUUUCGGAUGAAGACUAGUUUUUCCGGCUACAUAUCCGUUGAUUUCCGCCACUACAGGUUCUAUUAUUACUUUUUUUUUGUGAAUUUUGUAUUUAUAUGUGAAAUUAUGUGAAAAUUGUCAUAUGUGAAAAUUAGAUUGUAUAUUUCGUAUUUGUUUGAAUAUAUGUGAAUUUGGUAUAUAUAUUCCAAUGUAUGUGUGUUUCAUGUAUAUGUGGUAUAUUAGUAUUUGGUAGAAAUUAUAUGUAUUUGUUAUAAGUAGAAUGUUAUUGUGUGUAUGUGAAUGUAUGUAUGUUUGUUGUAAAUGUGAUAUAUGAUUGUGAAAGUUUUGUAUUUGGUAUAAAGAGGAUGUUAUUAUGUAUAUAUGUGAAAUUAUGUGUAUUUGGUUUAAGUAGGAUGUUAUUUUGUGUGUAUGUGUAUGUAUUUGUAUUUGGUGUAUAUGUGGUAUAUGUAUGUAAAAGUAUGUGAAUUUCAUCUUCUUAUGUAUUAUGUAAAACUAUGUGGUUUUGGUAUAAGUAGGAUGCUAUAAUUGAAAAAAAAAAAAAAAAAAAUUAUUGUUAUAAUUUAAAAAAAAAAAAAACACAAAAAAAAUUAUAAAAUUGUUUAAAAACUUAUAUACAAAAACUAAAAAGUUUCUAGUUUUUACCCAAGCUAACUCCAAAUUAAUUAACCAAUAAGUUAUAUAGUUAACUUAUAAUCUUCAAAUUAAUUCAUAAGAUUAUAUUUCUAUAACCAAUAAUAAUCGGUUACCAUAAAAUAGGUUAAAGGAUGCUAUAAUUGAAAAAAAAAAAUUAUUGUUAUAAUUGGAAAAAAACACACAAAAAAAGUUAUAAAAUUGUUUAAAAACUUAUUAUAUUUUAAUCUCGACGGUAAAAAAGAACAGCACAACAACAUAAUGUCUAUUAUAAAAUUGUUUAAAAUUUUACAAGUAAUUUUAAUUAAAAUUAAUUAAAAAAUGCAGAAAUAAAAAUUUUUAAUUUACUUUUUUUAUUUUUUAUUACUUAAUUUUUGUAUUAUUUUAGAUGUAAAAAAAAUGUGGAUUGGAAAAAAAAACAAUGGUAAUUCUGUAUACUAAACUCUAAACCCAAAAUUAUGUUUCAGCAACAUCAUGCCUAAUGAUAAAAGCUGGACUACUAAUCCAUAUCGAAACUAUCCCGAGUUCCAAGCAGGACUCAAAGCUUUUAUCGAGAAGUCCAAGUCGCACCUUGAUAGUAAUGGUAAAAUCAGAUGUGCAUGUGAAAAAUGUGAUAACCGUUACUUCAAGUACCCGACUGCAGUUGAACGCCAUAUAUUUAUAAAUGGUUUUAGGUAGAGUAUAAUUAAACUGUUCUUCGAGGUAGACAAUGCAUGUGGCUCGAUUGUCUUGGUAGAUCUCCUGGAGUCAGUUUCACAAAUUUUGAGCGGAUGCACCCGGUUUCAUGUUUGAUUCCCAACGAUUAUAAUAGAUAGUGGCAUAAAUCCACUGUUUGACAAUCGCGUCUAAGUGAAGCCAAGUGGAGUCAUCGAUAUAUUUGUGGUGUGGAACAUCGGGUUUAUGUGAUUUUAACAUUAUAUGUGCAAACAUGAAUAUUGAAAAGUUCCAUCAAUAAGGCAUAGUGACCGUCAGUUCAUUCAAGGAUGACAGGAAUGGUGUUCCUGAUGUUGUUGAAAUUGAAUGCUGGGUGAAAAGGUGUUUUGGAGACUGAGGAAGAAGAAUCAUCAAUUGCAGGUGUUCCCGUCAUAGCGGAAGAAGAUGAUGAGAAC